UACGUAGGGUGCGAGCGUUGUCCGGAAUUAUUGGGCGUAAAGGGCUCGUAGGCGGUUUGUCGCGUCGGGAGUGAAAUCCACUGGCUUAACUGGUGGCUUGCUUUCGAUACGGGCAGACUGGAGGUAUGCAGGGGAGAACGGAAUUCCUGGUGUAGCGGUGAAAUGCGCAGAUAUCAGGAGGAACACCGGUGGCGAAGGCGGCGACCUGGUCCUAUACUGACACUCAUACACGAAAGCGUGGGGAUCAAACAGG
This 253-nucleotide ribosomal RNA is filed under the name uncultured bacterium. RNAcentral's name for it is "partial 16S ribosomal RNA". It matches the Rfam family "Bacterial small subunit ribosomal RNA", at positions 524 to 776 of the family's 1533-position model. The record is from RNAcentral.